GACGUUGCAGUAACAGUUCACCAGAGGUUAGCAUUUCUUCCUUCUUGACUUUCCAUGCAGAACAUGGAGAAGAAGAAGAAGAAGAAGAAGAAGAAGAAGAAGAAGAAGAAGAAGAAGAAGAAGAAGAAGAAAUACAGACAGUCGUUGAAAGUUAAACUGUUCCUUGUGACAUGGUCUAAUUACUACAGCCCACUAGGCUCAAGGGUAUUGUCUUGCUACAGAUGCACCGUAGUAUAUUUUUCAAAAAAUAUAUAUAUUGAAGCUUUCCAAGUGUUUUUCAAGUAGCAAAGUGUAAAGAGAGAGACCACUGGCAAUUUUGUGUUCUUAUUAGUCUUCGCGGAAGACAGCAAACAAGGACUCUUAUCCAGAAAUUACUCUGGUGUGUGUGUGUUUCUUGAAAAGAAAAUGUAGAAUUCAAACUGUUCUUCACAGAAUGAGUUUGAUAAAAUGAAUACUUAGAUAUUAUUGUUUAUUUUAUUUAAAUCCCUUCUUUCCUCCAAAGAAGUCAAGAUGGCAUGCACAGUUCUCUCCAUUCCCCAUUUUAUCCUCAAAACAACCGUAUGAGGUAGGUUAGGCUAAGAGCUGGUGACAGGGUUGUUGUGAAGAUGAAAGGAGGAGACCUAUGUAUGCCACACUGAGCUUCUUAGAUGAAAUGUGGGAUAUAAUCAAACAAACAAACAAACAAACAUUUUCUUUAUUCCAUUUUUAAUUGCAGUCUUCCUAUGAGCUACGGAGAUUGUACCAAGGAAAAUUGUCUGGCAGAAUCCUAUGCACACCUACUCAGACUGAGGUUCCACCAGGUUCCAUAGGUUUGUCUUCCAGGUAAGUGUGGGCAUAAGAUUGCACCUCUAGUAAACUUACAUUGCAUGGAAAAAUGGAGGCGGACUGGAGUCUCUGAGGUAAUACUCAUCUAGAUGACUUCAACUAACCAUUUCCCUCUGGAAACAUUAUUUGAGUUUCACUUGGUGAACAUCUCUUUUCCCACAUGACCUGCUGAGGUUUGAGACUUAUUACAGUGUGGCUACUGAAUGUUAGGUUUUGAUGCAUUUCUGCCAUAUGUCUGGAUGUAUUCAGGAGGAAUAUUAGUCAUGCAAAAAUGACCAGCAAAUGUCACAUCACAGACAGCUUGACAUGUCACCACUUAAUAAGAGCAUUUAAAUUAUAUAAUUCAGUGGUAAUAUUAUGUUCCUGAGAGGAUUUCCAUCCUCUUUUCCCUGUUCAGUUGGGCAAGGGCUCAUCUGUUCUCUGUGAUUCUUUGUCUCCAAAGACUGCUUUGGAUUUCUACAAGGGAGUCCCAAUUCCUCUGAACAGAGGGAUAAUGUGCUAGCUUUAAGAGCAAAACACACCAGAUGGGGAAGAUGGAAUACCAAUCUCAAGAGGACUCUUCCCCCCUCCUUUUUUUUUAAGGCAUGGAAGCUUAAAAUAAAAUACAGGGGUAUAAGUCUAGUGGGAAAGAGAGAAGGGUGACAGAGGUUUCUUGGAGAUUGCUAAACAAAACAGGUGGAUUUAGGGAUUUUAAUGAAGUGAGGGGAAGAGGGAAGAGUUGUCAGAGGAAAUGUCAAAGCAAGAGCUGGAGCAAUAACAUUUGUAGUCCAUUUAAGAUUAAGGCUGCACAGAUAAUAUUCUUCAGGGAUUUGCUAUUUGCAUGAGUACAGAUGUGGGAGAAAUCUGAGUCAGUUCCCAUUUAAAGGUGAACAUACCAAAUUUCCAAAACCAAAACACCAAAACACAAGUAACCUUUGGAAUUUCCAGUUAUCCAAAUUUUGUAUUUUUCUCCAAACCAUGUUUACAAAAAUGGAUUGUGGGAAAGUGAGCAUAAAAAUGAACGUGUCAGUGAAAAGAACAUACAAAAAUGCACUGUAGCUGCAUACAAAAAUAUGUUUUUUGAGCGGAAUUCAUGUUAAUAUGCUGAUAAAUUUUCAUGUGGCUUUUAAAAAUGAAUAAAUUGCAAAUUAAUGAAGAAAUUUGGCUAACUGGAUUUAAGGCUCCUUUUCUCAGUUUCUCAUUUUUGCCAAACUUGACAGAUCUUUUCACCCAUACUGCCUAGUAUGUAUGUUUAGGAAUGCAGACAAAGAGGGCUGGCCUGAGGUAAAUGUUAUGGUGAUGCUUCCAAGUACAGAAAACUACUGGACUGGUAGUUGAAUCUUAUUUCAACUUGCUCACAGAAUAGCAUCAUCCAUUGCACCUCAGUGAAUCAGGCUAGCUUAGAGGAUGCAACACAGGCUAUGUGGAAUACAUAGUCCUGUCCCCCAGUAUACUCACAGUGGUAGGGGGCUUCUCUCAGUGCCAAGAGAUUGCCACCACAGACUCUGAACUAGGGAUAGAGAAGAAAUUUGAUUCAAUUUGCAUUUAAAUGUGAAUCUACCUAAUUACAAUAUGCAAGCUGAAACACAGGCAACCAUUGAAAUUUGCUUCUCCAAAUUUUUCAGUGCAGUUCUGUAGCAAUCUAAUGUGUACAAAAUUGCAUAUAUUAGGGUAAUGUGUGCAUAAACAUGUAGAGAUGGAUGAAAAAAUACAGAAAUGUAUCAUAUUAAGGAAAAUCUGAUUGCAAAAGUUUUUUAAUUAGAAAAAGAAUGCAUGCAAAGGUAGCGCUUUGCACUAACAGGCUACUGAAUUUUCAGGAGCAAACGGAUGUAGAAAUGUGGAGAACUGAAUUUAAGAUUGGGAAAAUGAGAAACCGGGGGAAACCAAAUUUGAAAGAUUGGUCAAUUUUUACCCUCACAAACUGCUGCCUAUAGUAAUACCAUCACUCUUGCUAAUGGCAGGACCAAUGCUAGAGCCAAUGGAUAUAAUUCUGUUUAUACUAACCCAGGUGAAAGUGAUAUGGAGGUCAGUUGGACUUAACAUUUGAGUAAAAAUGUGAAGGGCUGACUACAGUGGUACCUCUGGUUACGUACUUAAUUCGUUCCGGAGGUCCGUUCUUAACCUGAAACUGUUCUUAACCUGAAGCACCACUUUAGCUAAUAGGGCCUCCCGCUGCCGCUGUGCCGCUGCUGUGCCGCCGCCAUGCGAUUUCUGUUCUCAUCCUGAAGCAAAGUUCUUAACCCGAGGUACUAUUUCUGUGUUAGCGGAGUCUGUAACCUGAAGCGUAUGUAACCUGAAGCGUCUGUAACCCGAGGUACCACUGUAUUAAGAUUGCAAUCCUAGUAACAGUUUAACUCAGGAGUGUUGAUGAACUUUGUGGGAUAUACUUGUUUUAGUUAAUAUGCUUAGGACCAUUCCUUUAAAAUAGAAUUUCUAUAUGUUCAUUUAAAAAUUCAGAACAGUUUGGAAACUUUACAACAUACAUGAAACUGACAAUAAAACAAUACAGAACUGCCACACUAAAAUCAUGCAAUGAAACAGCAGCAUUACCUUAACAAAAAAUAAAUGCAGCAAACAGCAUAAAGCACGGGAGACAGCAAAUAGCCUCAAUAGUUCUCAAUUAAUUGUAACAGGUGUCUGAAAUAUAUACAGUAAGCCCAGAAUUUGUGUGCAUUCAGCUUUAUGUAUGUGACAAAUGUUUUUUUAAAAAAAUGAAAGGGGGGUGGAAUGACUUUGGCAAUCCCACCUACUAUUGAACCCAAUGUGUUUUGAUUAUACAUGAUCUUGCCUUUAGGCAUGAACCUGCACGUAAGUUGUGGGCUUACUGUAUUUAAAGGUUUUAUAUAUGCAUUGGGAAGACAGCAGGUUGAUGCUAAAUGAGCCUCUGCUCUGGAGAGAAAUAGAGAUUAUCAGAGCAUCCAGUGAGAAAACUUUGCUCUAAGUGGAAGCUCAUGCUGGAAUCCUGGGGGUUGCACUGUGUGGCUGCAAUUUUGUGCACACUUUCUAGAAGUGAGCCAGAUCAGGCCUCUCAUGUAAUUUCAUUAUAAUAAAUUAGACUGAGAUGUGACUCUUAUAGUUGGUGUAGAAUUCAUGAAUUCAUGAUCUAUUGGGGUGAAAGACCAAGCUUAGUCUUCCUUCAACUAGCCCCCACCUGCCUGCUUUCUUACCUACAGCUAAUCAGGGGGCGGCUCUACCUGUUAUUGUUAUGGUUCAACAACUGUUUAUCUCCCUGUCUUCCACCCUACUGGUCUCAAUGGGUACCAGCUACCAUUGGAGUCGUGCAGUAGUCUAUCAGGUCUCUGCUUGCAUGGAGGAAUGUGGUGUAACCAGUGUGUGUGUUGGCACCAUGGGCACUACUUGUAAGCAGAAGUGGCUGAAUAAAACAGAAUAAGCCCAGAAAGUAAAGGGCUUGACCUAGGAACAUAGGAAGAUUGGUCUGUCUAACUCAGUAUUGUCCAUAGAGUCAGGCAGUAGCUGCCCAGGACUUCAGACAUGGGACAUUCCAAGUCCUACCAGGAGAUGCUGCGGAUUAACCUGGGAUCUUACUUAUUUUAUUGAAUUUAUAUACCACCCUAUACAUGGAGGUGUCAGGGUAGUUCACAGAACAAAAUAAAAAUAUAAAACCACAAAAUAUAUAAUCAAAAUAAACACCCCCC
Molecule: non-coding RNA, 4460 nt
Organism: Podarcis lilfordi (Lilford's wall lizard)
Lineage: Eukaryota; Metazoa; Chordata; Lepidosauria; Squamata; Lacertidae
Source: the annotation of a GenBank genome assembly